This 293-nucleotide ribosomal RNA is filed under the name uncultured bacterium. Its description in RNAcentral is "partial 16S ribosomal RNA". It matches the Rfam family "Archaeal small subunit ribosomal RNA", at positions 455 to 747 of the family's 1478-position model. The record is from RNAcentral.
GUGCCAGCCGCCGGGGUAAUACCGGCAGCACGAGCGAUGGCCGCUAUUAUUGGGCCUAAAGCGUCCGUAGCCGGCCGGGCAAGUCCGUCGGGAAAUCCACUCGCCCAACGAGUGGGCGUCCGACGGAAACUGCACAGCUUGGGACCGGAAGGCUCGAAGGGUACGUUCGGGGUAGGAGUGAAAUCCCAUAAUCCCGCACGGACCACCGAUGGCGAAAGCACUUCGAGAAAACGGAUCCGACAGUGAGGGACGAAAGCCAGGGUCUCCAACCGGAUUAGAAACCCGGGUAGUCC